Nothobranchius furzeri (turquoise killifish) is the source of this 5047-nucleotide non-coding RNA. NCBI's taxonomy places the organism in Eukaryota, Metazoa, Chordata, Actinopteri, Cyprinodontiformes, Nothobranchiidae. The record is from RefSeq and is a predicted model, not a curated record.
GCUCUGCUCAAGCAGCAACACAGCAGGGUUAUUAUUAGAGUUCAUCAACAUUAACGGAUCAUUUACUCCAGGCUUAAGGGACCCAUGGUCCGGAAAUAGAUUUAGGCUCCCAAUGCCAGUAACUGGGAAAAAAGAUGCAAUGCUGGGUUCGAGAAUCUUGGUAUCUUUUAAAGGAGUGACGGUGAAAUAGAGUGAGAGAUAGACUGAUGGAUCUGGGCUUUGUCUACAGGACUGAGUGUUGCUCUUAAUUUACUGCUCUGUCUACAUUCCAGCACUGGAUUUGUUUCAUAGCCAAGAUACAAGAGGCUGACAUGAACUUCCUCUGUAUGACAGCUGAUUCAGCCUCAGAGGUAAAGUGAGGCGCUCCAUCAUCAGAGUAGAACUGCAUUGGGAGGAUCUCCUGACCCAUUCUAAUAUGAAACCCUGGAACUGACCCAGAAGCUCCUUUAUAUAUCCUCAUUCAGUCUGGGAACGCACGGGAGGAGCGGGAUACCUGUUACCUCGUCAACCUGACCUUGGAUAAGCAGUGGAAAAUGGAUGUAUGAAUGAACAAAGUCAAGGAUGUGUUAAAGGCAUGCAGACAGGCAUGCAGCAAGGAGGAAAACAACAUUACAGAUGGAAACAACUUCCUCUCUCAGUCUGGAGGUCCACAGGAGUUAAGUGCCCGCCCCAUAAUCGGAAGGUUGCAGGUUCGAACCCCGCUCAGUCUGUCGCUGUUGUUGUGUCCUUGGGCAAGACACUUAACCUACCAUACCUGCUGGUGGUGGUCGGAGGGACCGGUGGAGCCUGUGCACGGCAGAUUUGCGUCUGUCAGUGUGUUCCAGGGCAGCUGUGGUUACAGUGAAGCUCAUCACCACCAGUGUGUGAAUGGGCGAUUGACUGAUUAUGUUGUUAAGUGCCUUGGGGGGUUCCAAGACACUAGAAAGUGCUCUAUCAAAUGCAGGUACUUUACCAUUUAACACAUACAAAGGAAAUAGAAACCUCUGAGAAAAUGCUCAUGAAGAACGAAUCUCAAAUGUCAGAAUGUGUUGUUUCAAUAUUCUUCAUGACUCACCAGGAGCCUUCAGGAAGAUCUGAAACUCCACUGAUGCUCAAGUUCAACAAGACAUCUGAACUUUGUUAGUGUCUACACCCAAUCAGCCAAUCACACAGCUUGGUGCAUUCAGGCACCUAUAUGUGGUGAAGAUGACUUGCUGGAGUUCAAACGCAUCAGAAUGAAGAAAGGAGCUUGAAAGGACUUUGAACAGAUCAUGGUUAUUGUGUGAAGGAUAUCUGAACCACAACACGUCCCUCCAGAUAGACCCCAGCAGCAGAAGACCACACCAGCUUUCACUUCUGUAAGCUAAAAACAGGAAACCAAGCCUACAAUUCACAUAAGAACACCAGAACUGGGCCAUUACACUUAUUAUUUCUAUAGGUGUACCUCAGGGCUCCCUCUCGGGCUCAACUCAAUUCUCUUUUAACAUUAGUGACGCUGCCAAAGCUGCUGGUUAUUUCCAGAUUCACGUAUAUGCUGGUGAGACAUACCAUCUACUCAGUAGGUUCUUCUCCCACAUCUGGGCAUCUGUCUGGAUUCAUCUUUAUUUUUCACCACUCAUGUCAACAAUCUGCAAUCAAAAGCCAAAGCACAACUUUUCUUUUUUUAUAAUAAAGUUUCUUUUACUCAUGCUGCCAAACAUGCUUAUUAAAAUGACAAUACUUCCAAUUCUGGACUUCCUCCAUCUUCUCAUCUUCUGCCUCGCAGCAGCAUAUGGCUGGGUCAUUUUACAAACCCAAACUUAAACUUGCAACCCAAACAUCCAUCACAACAUUCUAAUUUAACCUUCAUCAGGUUAUAGUUGACUGCUGCACCUAGAUCACUCUUAUUUCUAUAAUUUUACAUGAAUAUUCAUUCCUUUUUACACUGGUUUGUCUGCAUUCCUGUAUGCAUGUGCAUAUGCGCUCACAUGCCUGCCAUAGCUUUUACUUGCUAUGAUAUGUUCUCUGUUUUCUUUUCUUUUAUAUGUGCAAAUGUAAUUGUUGUUUUUGUUGCUUUACCUACAAGGUAUCUCAACCAGGUCUUGUUUGGAAAUGAGAACAGGCUGUCAAACAUUUUACCAGGUAAAAUAAAGGCUGGGAAGAAAGUCAAGGACUUUGCAGGAUUUCUUUUCACUUUAGUUAAGGAUACAUUUAAAAAGAAAUGUUGCAAAAAAAAUUAUGUUUUGUGAUUGAGAUGUUGUUGUUGUUGGUGGUGGAACGAAUCGAUAAAACCAUUAAAAAGCUGAGCAUUGUGCAGUCCAAAGCAUCCAGUCUGACACACAGCAGAUCUUGUUCUGAGCUUAUCUUCAUGGAGUAAACUGCUCUACAGACGCCGUAAUCUUGGCUUCUCUAAAAAGCAGCUUCUGUGUUCGUCCUGUAAGCAAACAAUGGGCUAUUGUAGCACCGGAUAUACCUCAGAUGGCUGCGGCCAUAAGUCAAAAUAAGGAGAAAAGUUCUUUUUGUGGUUGCAGGGAGAAAAAAGUUGAGUCUGGGUCCAGAUAAGAAGCUGGUGUAGCUUGUUUGUAUCCGUGCGGUCCUCCUGCUGAGCCAAGAGCCAGCUAAGCUGGAUGAGGGUCUGUGUUUUGUCUCCAGGAGAUUUAAUUAGCAGAGCUCAUUAUUCAUGGUUGAAGCCCAGAGUUUGACAUUUCCAUGAGCACAAAAGCCUGGCUUCCUACCACCUGUCUGUGAAGGCAUCAUUAAUGCGUUCAGCUGUCAACACAUCUCUUUUACUGCUGCAGCGAACAAACAGCCAUGUUUGUUCAGCUUGAUGCAGCAACUUGAUGCUCAUGAGCAGGACAACGGUCUGGCUUCUCCAACCUCAGAACUUGUGCAAGUAAAAAGGGUCCAGCUGAGUUUAUUUUGAUGAGAUUUUCCUUCAUAAAUAAAAAUUCAACUUGAGCUGUAUAAAGAAUAUUUUGCCAGUGUCAGUUUGAACUUGUUAGAACUUUUUGAGAAGAAAUUACACAUCAGAAUUAAUGUCAAUACAACUACAACAACUGAUAAUAUUAUAUAUACACAUAUAAUUUGGCCGAAGGGCCUGAGUUUGCCACCUGUGGUGUAAAGAGGUGAAAUUUGCAUUCUUCUCACUCUUCUCUUUCAUAAACACAAAAAUUAAAAACUAUUCUAAAGUGAUGGUAAAUUCACCAGAAAAAUUACAACUAAAUCUAGUUCAGCUCAGCUCUUUCUGGUUGUGUUUGCCGUGUUAGUGACUGUAGAUCAGGGAAACAGUGACUUCAUGGUUCUGAAUGAAUCCCAGAAAAGUUUGGGUGUGUGCAUGUGUGUUUGGAGGAGAAGGGCUCUUUUAAACCUCAUUUCACAAGUUCAGCUCUAGAUCCCACUUGUUGUUAAUGUAGAAUCGUUGACAUUGAUGCAUUUAAACUCAGCGCUCAAUGUUUUUAUCAUCUCGCACAGCAAACAUCUGGCAUCACAUGAGAAACAGCUUUCAGAUUUAAGAAUGUGUGUGAAAAUCAGCUUUAAAAAGCCUGAUGUGACUUUUCUAAUGCCCCUCUCAGCUGCCUGUGGCCUGUUUCCCCCUCCAACGUGUUUAUGAGCUGAACUUUCUAAAACAGGAAAUAAAUAAAAUAAACAGAUAAAUGAAUAUGCCACUUUAGAAAGCAUGCUGACUUGGCAGAGCUGGCACUGAAAAUGUGACCGGACGAGGGGGGGUCAGAGUUCCACGAAGCAGUUUUCCAUGUCAACGGCAGCAGUCGGACCAUCUGGGACCCAGAUCUGUUAGUGUGUUUACUGCAGAUCUUUUUACAGAUCAUUCAGGGCUAGAAAUGACUCAGUUAAAGAAAAACAGCACACAUUCUCAAAGAGAUGUUCUCUGAAAUCAGAAAAAUUACUAAAAUGUUCCUGAAUAAGUGGAAGAACCAAGUCAAGUCUGUGCAAGAUUAGUUAAAUUAUCACACAGAUGUUUCUCAUUAGGUUAACUGUACAUUACUUUACUAAAAAUAAACAUCCGGAAAGAGAAAAACAUGUCCAUCAAGAACUUUCUUCAUUUUUUACUUUGUUUAAAGGUGCAACAUGUAAGAAUAAAGUAGGAAUGACACCCUGUGGUUAAAUGUUGUUACUGCAGUCCAUUUUUCUCAACAAAAACUCACUACCUCACUACCGUUUAGUGGCUGUUGCCAGUUACGGAUCAGUGUCAGAAGAUUCUAGCUGAUAAAUGAAGAGUCAUACACACUGAGUUGAUAAGUAGAUAAAUUCAUAAUUAUAUCUGGUGUUAUACUCUUGGGUGUUUUAUGGUAGGGAGCUCUUACUACACUUAUUACGGUAGUUUGCCUCUGGCAUCAUAGACAGUGCAGUUGUUUGCAGUCUUGCUGUGAUAGCUCUAAACGACUCAUUAAAGAAAUUAAAUUAUUUUUCAGAAAUCCCUAAAAGUGACCGUCUUAUCAUGUACUGUGAUAUAAAGUAAGCAAUACGUGCUAAGCACGCCCCCUGCCCCGCAGAGCUCCGUGCAAUAGGAAACUGAGCGCCGACCAGAACUAACCAAUAGCGUUACUUUCCACGGAGUCGCUAGAAUAUAAAUAUAUGAGAACACAACAUGACAUGAGAAUAAUACUUGUAAAACAACAUAUUUUAGCUCUGUUUGUUGCCUACAGAAGCUUGUUAAUAAACAAGAAACAUGAAGUCGCCAUCUUAACUCAUUCGCUGCCAGCCAUUUCCUGAUCGCUAAAGUCCUUCGCUGCCAGUGUUUCUCGCCAUUUUUACUGUUUUUUUAAGAGUCACAGAACGUUGUGCGCUAGCAUGAUGUCGACGCCAAAACAACCAAAACAAAGAGUAGACUCACUUAUUACAUCAGGAAGAAUCCGCGUGUUUCAAGCGCUAUCCGUUCUUUCAUAAUACGUUGUUGAAUUUUGAUCGGCAGACACUUUUCCGGUUCGCGCCUCCCUUUUUUUAUUACAGGAACGGCUCAAAACGAUCUCCUAACACAUGGAUGUUCUGCUUCCUGAUCACGUGACGUGUGACGUAUGCGGAUGAAGAUCGGCUUCAGAGCUGAGAUGUUUGUUCUCUCAGUGCGGGGGCU